UCUUCGUUAGUAUAGUGGUCAGUAUAUAGGCUUGUCAAACAACUUUGCCCGCCUGGGACCCGGGUUCAAUUCCCGGACGAAGAG
Molecule: transfer RNA, 84 nt
Filed under: Niveomyces insectorum RCEF 264
Lineage: Eukaryota; Fungi; Ascomycota; Sordariomycetes; Hypocreales; Cordycipitaceae
Description: Sporothrix insectorum RCEF 264 tRNA
Rfam family: tRNA
About the family: Transfer RNA (tRNA) molecules are approximately 80 nucleotides in length. Their secondary structure includes four short double-helical elements and three loops (D, anti-codon, and T loops).
Source: Rfam by way of RNAcentral